GGGCAACUGUGCUUACAUUCGUGGCUUACCAUGCAGUCGAACGGUGAAGCCCAGCUUGCUGGGUGGAUCAGUGGCGAACGGGUGAGUAACACGUGAGCAACCUGCCCCUGACUCUGGGAUAAGCGCUGGAAACGGCGUCUAAUACUGGAUACGAACUGGAACCGCAUGGUUACUGGUUGGAAAGAUUUUUUGGUUGGGGAUGGGCUCGCGGCCUAUCUGCUUGUUGGUGAGGUAAUGUCGCACCACCUCACCGACUUGCAGCCGUUUCUACGAGGGUUACCGGCAACACUGAAACCUGAGACACGGGCCAGAUUCCUACGGGAGGCAGCACUGGGCAAUAUUCGCACAAUCGGCGGAAGCCUGAUGCAGCAUCCCCGCGUGAAGGGGAUGACGCCCUUCGGGUGCUAAACCUUCUUUUAGCAGGGAAGAAGCGCAAAGUGACAGUCACCUGCCAGAAAAACGCGCCGGCUAACUACGUGCCAGCAGCCGCGGUUAAUACGUAGGGCGCAAGCGUUAUCCAGAAUUAUUGGGCGUAAAGAGCUCGUAGGCGGUUUGUCGCGUCUGCUGUGAAAUCCCGAGGCUCAACCUCGGGCCUGCAGUGGGUACGGGCAGACUAGAGUGCGGUAGGGGAGAUUGGAAUUCCUGGUGUAGCGGUGGAAUGCGCAGAUAUCAGGAGGAACACCGAUGGCGAAGGCAGAUCUCUGGGCCGUAACUGACGCUGAGGAGCGAAAGGGUGGGGAGCAAACAGGCUUAGAUACCCUGGUAGUCCACCCCGUAAACGUUGGGAACUAGUUGUGGGGUCCAUUCCACGGAUUCCGUGACGCAGCUAACGCAUUAAGUUCCCCGCCUGGGGAGUACGGCCGCAAGGCUAAAACUCAAAGGAAUUGACGGGGACCCGCACAAGCGGCGGAGCAUGCGGAUUAAUUCGAUGCAACGCGAAGAACCUUACCAAGGCUUGACAUAUACGAGACCGGGCCAGAAAUGGUCAACUCUUUGGACACUCGUAAACAGGGGGUGCAUGGUUUGUCGUCAGCUCGUGUCGUGAGAUGCUGGCCUAAGUGCCCGCAACGAGUCGCAGCCCUCGUUCUAUGCUUGCCCAGCACGCAAUCGUGGACACUCAUGGGACUACUGACCGGGGUCAACUCGCAGGAAGGUGGGGAUGACUUCAAAUUCAUCAUGCACCUUUAUGUCUUGGUCUUCACGGAUGCUACCAUGGCGGGUACAAGAGGCUGCAAUACCGUGAAGGGCGAGCAUCAAAAGCCGGUCCCAGUUCGGAUUGAGGUCUGCAACUCGACCUCAUGAAGUCGGAGUCGCUAGUAAUCGCAGAUCAGCAACGCUGCGGUGAAUACGUUCCCGGGUCUUGUACACACCGCCCGUCAAGUCAUGAAAGUCGGUAACACCUGAAGCCGGUGGCCUAACCCUUGUGGAGGGAGCCGUCGAAGGUGGGAUCGGUAAUUAGGACUAAGUCGUAACAAUGCUGCUCCAC
This 1486-nucleotide ribosomal RNA is filed under the name Microbacterium phyllosphaerae. Its description in RNAcentral is "bacterial SSU rRNA". It matches the Rfam family "Bacterial small subunit ribosomal RNA". Lineage: Bacteria; Bacillati; Actinomycetota; Actinomycetes; Micrococcales; Microbacteriaceae. The record is from RNAcentral.